Molecule: ribosomal RNA, 301 nt
Filed under: uncultured bacterium
Lineage: Bacteria
Description: partial 16S ribosomal RNA
Rfam family: Bacterial small subunit ribosomal RNA
Source: RNAcentral
CAGCAGCCACGGGAAUACGAAGGGUGCAAGCGUUAAUCGGAAUUACUGGGCGUAAAGCGUGCGCAGGCGGUUUGUUAAGACAGAUGUGAAAUCCCCGGGCUCAACCUGGGAACUGCAUUUGUGACUGGCAAGCUAGAGUGUGGCAGAGGGGGGUGGAAUUCCGCGUGUAGCAGUGAAAUGCGUAGAUAUGCGGAGGAACACCGAUGGCGAAGGCAGCCCCCUGGGCCAACACUGACGCUCAUGCACGAAAGCGUGGGGAGCAAACAGGAUUAGAUACCCCAGUAGUCCCUGUCUCUUAUAC